CAUAAACAAACCUUAAAACAUGAUUUUUGAAGUUGAAACUUAAAAAAGAUGUCUCCACGUAAUUUUCUCAAGUUGUUAUAUAGAUACUAGAAAAACUGCAUCUUUCUGUAUAUUUAUUCAUUUUGUAUUAGUAAUUUAGUGAGUCCAAAAUUAAUCAAAGAAUUGUGAAUAAUUCAUUUUCAAAAACAAUUAUCUUCAAAGCUGAAACAUUAAACAUCAAUAUAAUUAAAAUUUCAGUUAUUAAUAAAAUAUAGUCAAUAAAAAAAUCAUGAAAUUGAAAAACACGCCCAAAAAUAUUUAUUGUUAAUAUAGACCACAAAUUGAAGCCGCGAAAAUCAUGAAAAAAAAACUGAAAUAUCUGUGCGAUGCACACAAAAAUCGUAUAUUAGAGAGAUAAGAACCUGAGAAAGUUGAUUGGGUGCGAAAGAGGCAGAGAGCGCCAUGCUUCAUUUCCCCAUCACAUCAAAUUUCAACCGGAUCUUCACACGAAUUUAGUAUGUAUUUCUAUGGUGGUGAAGAGUAUGUAUAUAUACGCGUGUGUAUAGAGCGAGAUAGAGAGGCUUGAAGGGCCGGUAAGGGAUUGAAAUGGAGGGAAACAAAGUAGAGAGAGAAUGAGGCGCACUGAAACAAGGCAAAUGAAGUACAGUAGAUCCACUACUAUACUCUCCAAUUUCCAAAUACAGGUGGUGUAUAUAUGGAUCGGUGGAGCUAUUUUUGUUUGGAGUUGGAUUCAUCAAUGUUGUUGCCACACCAUUCUUGUAAGAUUUAUUUCCGAUUUGUUUUUCAAUAUUUAGAUUUUAUCUCUACAUUGUGGAUUCCUAGUUUAUUCAUCACCUAAAGGAUAAAAGCUGCACACUGAUUUUGUGUUU
Molecule: long non-coding RNA, 869 nt
Organism: Olea europaea var. sylvestris
Lineage: Eukaryota; Viridiplantae; Streptophyta; Magnoliopsida; Lamiales; Oleaceae
Exons: 2
Source: RefSeq, a predicted model, not a curated record